Molecule: non-coding RNA, 148 nt
Filed under: Homo sapiens (human)
Lineage: Eukaryota; Metazoa; Chordata; Mammalia; Primates; Hominidae
Source: Rfam by way of RNAcentral
GCUGGGCAUGGUGGCGCAUGCCUAUAGUCCCAGCUACUCAGGAGGCUGAGGCAGGAGAAUGGCUUGAACCCGGGAGGCAUAGGUUGCAGUGAGCCAAGAUUGCGCCACUGCACUCCAGCCUGGGCAACAGAGUGAGACUCUGUCUCAA